UAUAAAUUUCUUCCUUAGCUGUCAUCUUAAAUCAUACUUCUUCAUGAUCGUUUUCUGGAUGUCUCGAGGUAUUAUGAAUGAUUAAAUUUUUUAAAGUAAACGAGGAUGCUAGUUUCCUAGCAGUAACACCAACUAUCAUGAAGGUCAAUUCUUUAGAGUCCCCUGCUCUGCUGUGAAAGAAAUUACUUUCGGUUAAUUUUGUGAUGUUCUUUCUUCCUAGUUUGUUAUUUUAGUUUAUCUGCACCUUUUGCCAUGUAUGAUCUAACAUAUGAUAUUUAGGUGGAUGUGUCAGUGGUUUGAAGCUGUAAAUUCUUUGUUCCGAACACCAAAAUUUACGUAUACUGAUUGUCAGUACUCCCUUUAAAAACGUACUUUAUGAUGAUUUUUCAAGCAAUAACUACUUUGCCGCCUACAGCUCAGGAGGCAAAUAUUCAAAGUCAUUUAUUUAUGUCCUUUUUCCAUAUCUUUAUGCUAUUCCUUUGUUUUUCGUACAAUAAAAGGUCUUUUCCAUAUCUUUAUUCCAGAGG
Molecule: small RNA, 527 nt
Filed under: Vigna angularis var. angularis
Lineage: Eukaryota; Viridiplantae; Streptophyta; Magnoliopsida; Fabales; Fabaceae
Description: Non-protein coding transcript
Source: RNAcentral